GACAGCGAGAGGGGCCUGGGGAGCGUCCUGGCCUCGCUGGGGCCCAGCCUUCCCGAGGCUUUGCGCGUCCGAAGGGCCUGCGCCUUAUGGGAACAGCAGCGACUUGCUGCUCAUUACCAACUCCGUGUGUCACUCAGUUUGCGGAGACCGAGGGCCCAGACCCUCGUUUUCCGCCCAGCUUACAGAAGCCCAGAGACAUCUCUCCCCCCCCCUCCCCCUGCCCUUGAACCCAGAGAGCGUGUAAGGAGGAGAGAAGCCUGCCUUGUAGCCUGCUCCAGCCCACUCUGUCUGCCCUACUGCCCAUGGGCAUGAGGACAAGUUCUGGAAGUCCCCUCUAAGAGCCGAUCACCUGCCUGAGCCACAGCAACAGGGUGGAGUUGGGCUUACAAGGGGCUGACACCUGAUAUCCCAGGCACAGAUCACUUACAGGUUUACCAGUUGGGAACACGAAGACAUGCAAUUUAAACACUGCUCCAUCUCGUAAGAAAAAAAGAGGUCACCAGAGCGGUGGGGGAAGUGGGCACGGAGCUCUCCCAAGUGACCGGGACACAGAGCGAUUGGCUGUCCUUGUUUAAAGAAGAAAAUUGAAGGAAAAUGGUCAACUCAAUGAAGAGGAAGGUGAAGGAGGAGGAGAGAAGGUGAUGAAGGAGCUGAUUACACCAAGUAACAAACCCAAGAAACAGAAAACAGCCUUGUGCUUGCUUCUGGGGUGGGUGGAGAAGUGGCCCAGCUUCCCUCACCACCACGCCACCCUCUUGACUCCCUUGUUGUAUGUCUUGAGACACUGAGAUCCCCAGCCAGCAAGCAAGUAUAUUCCCUAUACAAAGGCAAGAAAGCGGAUCUAAGUAUGGGAUGGAGAACUGGGUCCCUAUCUCCUUUUUUGAAGGUAUAACAUACCUGCAAUAAACUGCACCCAUUUUAAGUUUAAAAUGUGAUACCUUUUGACAACUGUGCAAAACAUUUCCAUCACUCCAAAAAGUUCCCCUGUGCCUUUUGCAGUCUGUCACCUCCCCCUCCCCAGCCACUGGCACCCACAGAUCUAAUUUAUGUUCCUGUUUUGCCUUUUCCAGAAAGUCAUAAAAACGAAGUUGUACAGGACAUAGCCCUUUGUGUCUGGCUUUUUACACUUAGAAUAAUGCUUUUUAGAUUUGUCCACACUGUUGCGUGCAUCUAUAGUUUGUUUCUUUCUAUUGCUGAGUGUUCCAUUGUAUGGAGACAGUACAAUUUGUUUAUCCAUCUGUCAGUUGAUGGACAUUGGGGUUGUUUCCAGCUUUCAGUGAUUAUGAAUAAAGCUGCAUUCAAGUCAUUGUUUAGACAUGCUUUCGUCUCUCUCAGGUAAAUACCUAGGAGUGGGGUUGUUGAGUCCUAUGUAAGUGUAUGCUUAACUUCAGAAGAAACUGCCCAACUGCUUUACAAUGGCUGGACCAUUUUGCAUUCCCACCAACAAUGUAUAAAAGACCAGCUGCAGAUGGCUAUAAUAAUAAAAAAACAAAACAAACAAAAAACAGAAAACUAGCAAGUAUUGGUAAGGAUGUGGAGAAAUUUGGUGAUUUCUUAAUAAUUAUAGAAUGAUCACAUGACCCAGCAAUGCCACCCUUGGGUAUAUACUCCAAAGAAUUGAAAACAGGUGUUCAAAAAAACUUGUACACAAAUGUUCGUAACAGUUAUUCCCAAUUGCCAAAAUAUGGAAACAACACAAAUGUCCAUCGAUGGAUGAAUGGAUAACCAAAACAUGGUAUAGCCAUACAAUGGAAUAUUAUUUAGUCCUAAAGAAGAAUGAAGUACUUGUUUGAUAUCACUUAUAUAUGGAAUCUAAAAAAUACAACAAACUAGUGAAUAUAACAAAAAAGAAGCAGACUACAGGAAUAUAGGCGUGGGAGAGUGGGAGGUACAAACUACUGGCAUAAGAGAGGUGCAAGGACGCAUUGUACAACUUGAGGAAUGUAGCUAAUAUUUGGUAAUAACUGUAAACAGAAAGUAACCUUUCAAAAUUGUAUAAAAAGUUUUUUAAAAUAAGGAAUGAAAUACUGAUGUUUGCUACAACAUGGAUGGACCUUGACAACGUUAUGCAAAACAAAAGAAGCCAGGGCUUCCCUGGUGGCGCAGUGGUUGAGAAUCUGCCUGCCAAUGCAGGGGACACGGGUUCGAGCCCUGGUCUGGGAAGAUCCCGCAUGCCGCGGAGCGACUAAGCCCGUGAGCCACAAUUACUGAGCCUGCGCGUCUGGAGCCCGUGCUCUGCAACAGGAGAGGCCGCGAUAGUGAGAGGCCCGUGCACCGCGAUGAAGAGUGGCCCCCGCUUGCCGCAACUAGAGAAAGCCCUCGCAGAGAAACGAAGACCCAACACAGCCAUAAAUAAUAAAUAAAUAAAUUUAAAAAAAACAAAAAAACAAAAGAAGCCAGAAAAAGGGGUCACAUAUUGAAUGGUUCCAUUUAUGUGAAAUAUCCAGAAGAGGCAAAUCCAUAGAGACAGAAAUCAGAUUAGUAGUUGCCAAUGGUUAGGAGGAGGGGGUGUAUUAAUCAUGUGUUCUAUUUUCUGUAUUUUAUGAUGCUUUGACAUCUUGGGGCCUUGUGGACCCAGAGAGGGAUUGCCCCUCCCAGAGUCAGUGGAUUCUUGGAGAUAGCAAACAGCUUGCCUGAGGACAUCCCUUUGAUAUGCAAACCAACAAAUCCUGAGUGCAAACCCCAACCCUACUCAUUUUAUCAGUCUGGAACAUAGUCCCUUCCCUAAAUCACCCCAGGACCAGUUGCCAACUAGUGACCACCUCUACAGCCCUGGCUGCUCAAAGUGUUUCACUAUCUAACCUGAAGUUGGCUCAGCUUGCUUACCCUGCCCUGCCUUGCCUGUCCCACACAAACCACAAUAAAGGCUCCUGUCCACAUUUCCCCCUCUCUUCUGCCUCUUAACCACCCCUGGUACUUCCCUGUGUGGCCCUGCCUCCCGUUUCUAUGGAUCUGUGGGUAUAAAACCUUCAUCCUUCAUGACAGUCAUAUCUGUUUCUGUGUGUCUUCCCAUACCUAAUUGAAACAAAUCCCAGGUACAUUUUAAAACAGAGGAGAAUAGGAAGUGUUUAACAUGUAUACAGUGGCCAUUUGGGAUGAUAAAAAUAUUCUGGAAUUAGGUUGUGGUAAUGGCUGCACAACAUUGUGAAUGUGCUAAUUAUCUCUAAUGGUAAAUUUUAUUCUGUAUUUCUGUAUUUUGCAUUUCUACAUAGACAAUCAUGUCUGUGAAUAAAAAGUUUUCAUUCA
Balaenoptera acutorostrata (minke whale) is the source of this 3246-nucleotide long non-coding RNA. RefSeq lists it as uncharacterized. The record is from RefSeq and is a predicted model, not a curated record. NCBI's taxonomy places the organism in Eukaryota, Metazoa, Chordata, Mammalia, Artiodactyla, Balaenopteridae. The transcript is spliced from 4 exons.